GAUCCUGGCUCAGGAUGAACGCUAGCUACAGGCUUAACACAUGCAAGUCGAGGGGAAACGAUAUUGGAAGCUUGCUUCCGAUAGGCGUCGACCGGCGCACGGGUGAGUAACGCGUAUGCAACUUGCCUAUCAGAGGGGGAUAACCCGGCGAAAGUCGGACUAAUACCGCAUGAAGCAGGGAUCCCGCAUGGGAAUAUUUGCUAAAGAUUCAUCGCUGAUAGAUAGGCAUGCG
This 232-nucleotide ribosomal RNA is filed under the name uncultured bacterium. RNAcentral's name for it is "partial 16S ribosomal RNA". It matches the Rfam family "Bacterial small subunit ribosomal RNA", at positions 15 to 235 of the family's 1533-position model. The record is from RNAcentral.